GACGAACGCUGGCGGCGUGCUUAACACAUGCAAGUCGAACGGAAAGGCCCUGCUUUUGUGGGGUGCUCGAGUGGCGAACGGGUGAGUACCACGUGAGUAACCUGCCCUUGACUUUGGGAUAACUUCAGGAAACUGGGGCUAAUACCGGAUAGGAGCUCCUGCUGCAUGGUGGGGGUUGGAAAGUUUCGGCGGUUGGGGAUGGACUCGCGGCUUAUCAGCUUGUUGGUGGGGUAGUGGCUUACCAAGGCUUUGACGGGUAGCCGGCCUGAGAGGGUGACCGGCCACAUUGGGACUGAGAUACGGCCCAGACUCCUACGGGAGGCAGCAGUGGGGAAUAUUGCACAAUGGGCGGAAGCCUGAUGCAGCAACGCCGCGUGCGUGAUGACGGCCUUCGGGUUGUAAACCGCUUUCGCCUGUGACGAAGCGUGAGUGACGGUAAUGGGUAAAGAAGCACCGGCUAACUACGUG
RNAcentral lists this ribosomal RNA (468 nucleotides) under uncultured bacterium. RNAcentral's name for it is "partial 16S ribosomal RNA". It matches the Rfam family "Bacterial small subunit ribosomal RNA", at positions 28 to 507 of the family's 1533-position model. The record is from RNAcentral.